RNAcentral lists this long non-coding RNA (460 nucleotides) under Coturnix japonica (Japanese quail). RNAcentral's name for it is "lncRNA (ENSCJPG00005000273.1)". The record is from RNAcentral. Lineage: Eukaryota; Metazoa; Chordata; Aves; Galliformes; Phasianidae.
AAAACUGUGGCAUGAUUCACUGUACCCUAGUGCUUUUUGGGAACAGAAAUACUUAAAGCUGCAAAGUAAGGCCCUUCUUGUGAGGCUCUCUGACUAGACUGGAACCACCAACUAUUCAAUCCAUUGUACAAAAUCUCUUUCACAAUUCUCAUCAGCUUUUUUUCUAGACCUGGAGCACUGUGAUUUUGGGCUUUAGUCAUAAUCUACAUUCUCCCUUCAAAACAUCCCUGUGAUUUUUGGAGCAUCUUGGCAGAAGGUGAACUUGUACGUGACAGCAUCUGGAUGUCCAUGCAUUUUUUUGAGCCCUGUUGUGUAGACGACAGUGGAGUGAAUAGCCACUCUGCACCACAGCUUGCACAUGGGACUGCGGACCCCAGGGAUCCCAUCCUCAGCCUCAUGCUGGAUUUCCUCUGGAAAUUGUAAAUAUCAGAGUUGGACACUGAUCCUGCAGGGUAAAAAG